RNAcentral lists this RNase P RNA (333 nucleotides) under bacterium. RNAcentral describes it as "RNase P RNA component class A". It matches the Rfam family "Bacterial RNase P class A". Rfam says of the family: Ribonuclease P (RNase P) is a ubiquitous endoribonuclease, found in archaea, bacteria and eukarya as well as chloroplasts and mitochondria. The record is from RNAcentral.
CUAGUAAGUUGGAUGAUCGCUCCGACCUCGGUCAGAGAGGAAAGUCCGAACACUCACUUUAAUAUUAUAUUAGAGUAGCAAGGUAGCGGGUAACACCCGUCGUCCGCAAGGAUAGAGGUGCGAACAGAGACGAGCUCCGACUUCGGUCGGAGGGGUGAAACGGCUAAAUCCUUACCUGAGUGCAAGAGCAAGUAUCUAGUAGAAGAUGUUUAUGAUUUUCUAUUAGUGAAAGGUGGCUCGCUUGAAUCCGUCAGUAAUGGCGAGAUCAGACAAAUGAUCAUUACCUUGUCAUUCGACAGGGCACAGAAUUCGGCUUACAGACUUACUAGGACA